GAGCAACCUUUAUGAAGUUGAAAAGUUUCAGUCAUUAUUGUUUACAUGUUUAGAAGAAAUUAAAACAUCUACAAAGACAACGUUUUGUUUUCGACAAAAUUAGGCUCAUUCUGCUCAUCAACCAUUGUUAUCCUGCUAAAUGGAUUGAUAUGGAAUUUUAUUUAAAGUAUUCAGAUUACGUGGUGGAUAUUAUCAAGUCCUUUCAUCAGACAGUUUCAGAGCCAAUAAUAAAAUAUGCUUUACAAUCAAACAGUAUUUACAUCAUAGCUGGAGCUGUAAUGGCAUCUGUAAUAGCAUCAAAACACAAUGAGCAUGGACUUCAAAAUGUUACUGAGGAAAAGGAGUCAUCUUAUUCAGUAAUUUUAAUGCAGGGGCAGGAGGCAGAGAAAAUUCUUGCCAUAAAGAUAGCAACCAAGAAAGUUUUUCUUGAUCUGUACAUCUAUCGUAGAGGGUAAAGAUCGUUUUUUCAAGCUUUUUUGGUACUUUAACAUUGUGUACCAGUCAUAAACAGUCAUGUUCUGGCAAUUAGUGCAAAACAUCUAUGGCCUAUAGUAUGGUAUGCUACCAAUAGGAGUUAUAGAGUUUUUAUCAACACUUGCUAAAUAUGUUAAGUUUUUAUUUCUAGUGUAUUAUUUACUCAUCCUGAUAUACAUUUCAGAUUUUGUUA
Hydra vulgaris (swiftwater hydra) is the source of this 667-nucleotide non-coding RNA. The record is from RefSeq and is a predicted model, not a curated record. NCBI's taxonomy places the organism in Eukaryota, Metazoa, Cnidaria, Hydrozoa, Anthoathecata, Hydridae.